This 497-nucleotide ribosomal RNA is filed under the name uncultured bacterium. RNAcentral's name for it is "partial 16S ribosomal RNA". It matches the Rfam family "Bacterial small subunit ribosomal RNA", at positions 28 to 507 of the family's 1533-position model. The record is from RNAcentral.
GAUGAACGCUGGCGGCGUGCCUAAUACAUGCAAGUCGAGCGAACAGACGAGGAGCUUGCUCCUCUGACGUUAGCGGCGGACGGGUGAGUAACACGUGGAUAACCUACCUAUAAGACUGGGAUAACUUCGGGAAACUGGAGCUAAUACCGGAUAAUAUAUUGAACCGCAUGGUUCAAUAGUGAAAGACGGUUUUGCUGUCACUUAUAGAUGGAUCCGCGCCGCAUUAGCUAGUUGGUAAGGUAACGGCUUACCAAGGCAACGAUGCGUAGCCGACCUGAGAGGGUGAUCGGCCACACUGGAACUGAGACACGGUCCAGACUCCUACGGGAGGCAGCAGUAGGGAAUCUUCCGCAAUGGGCGAAAGCCUGACGGAGCAACGCCGCGUGAGUGAUGAAGGUCUUCGGAUCGUAAAACCCUGUUAUUAGGGAAGAACAAAUGUGUAAGUAACUAUGCACGUCUUGACGGUACCUAAUCAGAAAGCCACGGCUAACUACGUG